Molecule: long non-coding RNA, 1057 nt
Organism: Hippocampus zosterae (dwarf seahorse)
Lineage: Eukaryota; Metazoa; Chordata; Actinopteri; Syngnathiformes; Syngnathidae
Exons: 3
Source: RefSeq, a predicted model, not a curated record
CACCUGGGCGACAGAUGCCGUGGGUGGGAGACCGGCGGUGGGUCACCGGCAGCCAUUUUUCCAGCCCCAAAUUGUUCCAAUUCCAAUUGUUUGGGGCGCAAGAUUUUUGGGCUGAUGCCACCGCAGAGGCCGUUCGGGAACGUGCGCCCAAAAGCGGCGAGCCGCCCACGUACGUCUUUUUUCAAGGCCAUAAAUCGUUCUGUUGAGACAAGAAAAGAGCUUUGUCCAUGUUGCUUUUGGUUUGUUUUCACUGUGUGGCGUUUGAGCGUUGUGACGCUUGCUUGAGGUGUCGGAAAAGGCCGCCCGUCCCCAAAGAGCCGACGGCGGUGAAAGAAGCUCGAGCAGAUGAUCGGCACAAACCACAAUUGUGAUUCUGUUUGCCUCCGCGAGCGCCGCCGCCGCCAGUCUCCGCUCUCAAUGGCUCCUUGUUGAUCCGACUUCUCCGUGCCGCACGAAUGAGCUUGAGCGCUCUCCUCCAGAUGGCGUCGAGCGCCCGCGAUCGCUGCCGACAUCGUCAAAGACGACGCCCCCGCUUCCGUGACCGUUUUGAGCCUUCGGCCAAAGAAGCGCGUCGGUGACUCGCCGGCGCCACUCGGCCGCCCCCUCUCCAGCGCGCGGAAUGAAGCCCUUUGGCAAACGCCGACCCUUUCAGCAUUUUAGAAGCGUGUGAAAGGCAAGACGGGCCGCCGAGGGGUUUUGCAAUCUCGCAGCCUUGGAAAGGGGGGGGCAAACGCCUCGCGAAGAAGGCCGCGGCUUGCGGCCGCGACCGAGUCCGCUCGGCAGACGUUGAGAAUCGCGGGUUGACGCAAACCUUUUUGGGCGGGAGGGGCCCCGGGCAGUCGACCGGUGUCCGCGCACCAUAUUGGCCAAAAAGCAAGAUUGGAUUGGAUCGGCGCGUCCUUCCAAAACAAGCAAAACCAAAACAACGCGCGCAUCCGCAAAAACGAGACGGCGGCGAGGCUGCGUGGCUCCGACUCGGGCCCAUGGCGGGAAAAGCCUGUGAGUCAGCGCGGUUGAGGUUAUCGAUGAUGACGGGGUAUUAGAUGGAGGGCGGGGC